GACGAACUAUAUUAACCGAAAUACAUUAUAACAAUAAAGUUUAAAUGAAGAUUCUAAAUAACAAUUAGAAAUUAAUAAUUCUCGUAAAGCUAAAAAUUUUGGUGUCAGGAUUUUUUUUUUAUUUUAGUGUUUGCUCCUUAAGAAUCGAUUUUCAUAUAAGGCCCCCGGUAUGAAAAAAUAUGAGCAGUAAAAUGUACUGAACCAAUGAACUCGUUACGUUGUUGUUAACGCCAUCUAUCGAGAUGGCGCUACGACGUUUUCUAAUGACGCCAUCUAGAUCCGAUAGACGGCGUUAUUUGAUUCGUUUAUUUACCAUUUGAUGUGUUAUUAAUAUUUUUCUUAGACUAGUAAGCAUUUUUUGUGCCUACUUAGACAGUCGAUUACAUACUUUUUCAUUAUUCAGUUAUUGGUUAAAAAUGGAAUAUUCAAUUUUAAAUCUCAGUGCUAAUGCACAACCGGUUAGAGUGAGACGUGUGCGAGGCGCGUAAACAAAUAUUUUUUUGUUGUUUACGACUGCAUCGACCGAUUCCCCGUAAUACUGCAUUAUCGCUGCUUUGUAUUAUAUAAACAAUCCGUAAUGAUCCUUAUUGACAAUGGCUAAGGAUACAAUUUUGCAUGAAGACGAUUAUACAAUUCAUUUGACGGAGAACGAUGCUAACGUUAUAUGCAUAGAAAAAACUUACGAUGAACAAACACAUUUGGAGCAAGAUAUGGAAAUGAUUGAUACGAAUAGAAAACGUAUGUUACAUGAGGUGGACGAAAAUACAGAAGAGUGGCAAGAAGUUACUAAACAUGCUAAGAAAAAGGUGAGGGUUUUCGAUAAUAAUUUAGAAGAAAAUCUUAUUCAAAUCGGAAUUACGAGUAAUAAAGUCUUACCUAAACAAUUUGCAUUAGCAAAAAUAUUGCGAGAGAACCAAAUCGUGAAUGUCAGUAAGGUUAAAUACAUAAAUCCUAUUUAAAGAUUUAGGAUGGCGAUGUCAAAAAUCAUGGGAAGUAGGAAUAUCAUAUGGAAUUAUUAAAAAUAUAGACAAAGAACUGUCAGAAGAAGAAUUAAUUCAUAGUUUACUUUGUGAUAUUGAAGCUUUAGCCGUACAACGUUUGAAUCGUCGAGCAGACGAUGGUUGGGUACCUAGUGAAACCAUUAAACUAACGUUUAAAGGGCCGAAUAUACCGAAGUAUGUAUAUCUUCUAGAUCUGAGAAUUAAAGUAGAACAAUAUAUAUUUCCAGUCACUCAGUGUUCUCGUUGCUGGAGGUUUGGACAUACAGCAAAAAUGUGUCCAUCCAACAAAAUAAUUUGCCCUAAGUGUACAAGAAAUCAUCCAAAUUGUGAGAAUAAUAAUUUUAUAUGCAUUAAUUGUAAGGGUAAUCAUAUGCCCUUGGAUAAAAUUUGUCCUAUAUUUAAAAAAGAGAAAAGGAUUCGAGAAAUAAUGACAGAAUUCAACUGUUCAUAUUUGAAAGCUAUUAGUAUGUAUGUCCCCCAGUCCCCAAUUUUGCCAACCACCAACGUAGCUUGCAGUGAAUCAAAACCUACGACAAAGCAUGUUUACGCUCCAACAAGCACAGUACCAGUAAUUUAUCCUGAAAUUGAAUCUGUUGAUCAGGAAAUCCCUCAAACUUCUGGGACACAAAACACAAUGAACAAGAAGAAAAAGAAGAAAAAACGUAUUAAAUGUGCUGAAAAUGUAUAUGCAGACAUAGAAGUAGCCUCUGAUUCUGAUAAUAGUGUUAAAAGUGAUUACUGUAUUAAUAAUGAUAGUGAGGAGAAUGUAACGAAGGAAAAUAUAAAUUUGCACCGUGAAUUGAUUGAUAAACUUAAAAGUGUAAUAUUUGAAAAGAAUAUAAGUAUGUCGACUAAAUUUAAAAAUAUGAUUCAAAUAAUAAUUGAGUGGAUCACUUUGGCUAUUGUAAACAUCUUUUCAGACUUUCCGUUGAUUAAAACCUUUUUUAAUUAUAUACAAAGUAAUGGAUAGUAUUGUUAAAAAAUUAAUUAGCUUGAACAUUAUUCAGUGGAAUUGUAGAAGUCUAAAACCAAAAUUAAAGCUUUUUGAAGACCUGCUAAUUCGAGAAAAGGUUCAUAUUGCUGCUGUAAGUGAAACCUGGUUCGAACCUGAUGCCUUUGUCAAAAUUAAUAACUACAAUAUCUUUAGAAAGGAUAGAAAUAAUUCUUAUGGGGGUGUUGCAAUUUUUACACAUAAAUCUGUCCAAGCUCACAUACAUAAUGUAGAAGUCAGUAAUAGUGAUAUUGAAAUAAUAGGUGUUAAAAUAUUUAAUUGUGCACAAAUUGAAACUAUUUACUCUGUUUAUUGCCCUAGUGACAUUCGGACAACACAGAGAGAUUGGGAAUAUUUGUUUUCUUUAGUUAACAUGAAAUCAAUAUUGAUGGGUGAUUUUAAUGGACACCAUUCAAGCUGGUCUGUUAAAACGGAUACUAGAGGUACGCAAAUUCAUGAUUCAUUACUUGAAACUAGUCUUGUCCUUCUCAAUGACGGUAGCCCUACUCGACUUCAACUAAAUGAAAAUAUUUUACGCAAGUCAUCACCCGACUUAACUUUAAUAACAUCAGAUAUUUCUAUGGAUUUUUCUUGGUUAGUUUCGAAUGAAUCACUGGGCAGUGAUCAUCUUAUUAUUAAAUUAAAUACUACAAUA
Long non-coding RNA from Melitaea cinxia (Glanville fritillary), 2647 nucleotides. RefSeq lists it as uncharacterized. The record is from RefSeq and is a predicted model, not a curated record. Lineage: Eukaryota; Metazoa; Arthropoda; Insecta; Lepidoptera; Nymphalidae. The transcript is spliced from 2 exons.